GACGAACGCUGGCGGCGUGCUUAACACAUGCAAGUCGAACGGUAAGGCUCUUCGGAGUACACGAGUGGCGAACGGGUGCGUAACACGUGACCAACCUACCCCUAACAUCGGGAUAACAUUUGGAAACAGAUGCUAAUACCGGAUACGAACUUAGAAGGCAUCUUCUGAGUUGGAAAGCUCCGGCGGUUAGGGAUGGGGUCGCGGCCUAUCAGCUUGUUGGUGAGGUAAUGGCUCACCAAGGCGACGACGGGUAGCCGGCCUGAGAGGGCGACCGGCCACACUGGGACUGAGAUACGGCCCAGACUCCUACGGGAGGCAGCAGUGGGGAAUAUUGCACAAUGGGCGCAAGCCUGAUGCAGCAACGCCGCGUGCGGGAUGACGGCCUUCGGGUUGUAAACCGCUUUCAGCAGGGACGAAGUGAAAAUGACGGUA
Molecule: ribosomal RNA, 432 nt
Filed under: uncultured Actinomycetes bacterium
Lineage: Bacteria; Bacillati; Actinomycetota; Actinomycetes
Description: bacterial SSU rRNA
Rfam family: Bacterial small subunit ribosomal RNA
Source: RNAcentral